Molecule: long non-coding RNA, 441 nt
Organism: Lolium rigidum
Lineage: Eukaryota; Viridiplantae; Streptophyta; Magnoliopsida; Poales; Poaceae
Exons: 3
Source: RefSeq, a predicted model, not a curated record
ACCAGGUUUUUCACGUCUACAACAAGUAGCUUGACUGGAAGGCUAGAAACAAAAUGCGAUUCAAUUAUGGUGUGUGUCAUAAGUAUAAUAUGUGAAGCUGGUUGCAUUUUUGAGAUUGAACAACACCUGCCUCAUGUUUGUAUGGAAUGAGGACAACAUACUUUGAAUAAACAGGUUGCUCUCAGAGUGUAAAGAUUCAAUGUUGAUGCAUUAAGUCCAGCACACAUGUCACACUCAUGUCAGCACCAGAACAGGAAUUAGUCCUCAGCCAAGGUACGUGUUUUACCUAUGCCCCUCUAUGUAUUCAUUGUAGCAUAGGUAUGCUCCUAAAUAUAUUUGUCCUGUCAUGUGCUCCUGCAAUUUAAAUUUAUGAAAUUAAUCAUGGUAUCGAUCUGAAGCGGUACCAGAUAUUCACACUAUUCAUAAUGUUCUCAUUAAUAG